GAUGAGAACGCAGCGAAAUGCGAUAAGUAAUGUGAAUUGCAGAAUUCAGUGAAUCAUCGAAUCUUUGAACGCACAUUGCGCCCCUUGGUAUUCCGAGGGGCAUGCCUGUUCGAGCGUCAUUAUAACCCUCAAGCUCAGCUUGGUGUUGGGGCCUGCUGCACUGGCAGCCCUUAAAAUCAGUGGCGGCGCCAUCUGGCUCUAAGCGUAGUAAUUCUUCUCGCUAUGGAGUCCUGGUGGAUGCUUGCCAUCAACCCCCAAUUUUUCUAUGGUUGACCUCGGAUCAGGUAGGGAUACCCGCUGAACUUAAGCAUAUCAAUAAGCGGAGGA
This 327-nucleotide unclassified non-coding RNA is filed under the name soil metagenome. RNAcentral describes it as "partial contains 5.8S ribosomal RNA, internal transcribed spacer 2, and large subunit ribosomal RNA". The stretch from base 5 to 119 matches the Rfam family "5.8S ribosomal RNA", at positions 40 to 154 of the family's 154-position model. The record is from RNAcentral.